ACACAUGCUCUUGCUCUCUCGCGCUCUGGGAGAGCGCUUAUAUGGGCUUCAUGAGGCUAAGUAAUAAACACUUUGUCUUCACCCUGCUAUUUAUGGGUUGCUUGGGGCAUCCUGUGCUCUCCACUGCCCUUACCUGAACAGACGGCUCAUGCAGACCCGGAGUUUAAUAGGGACAACAGUAAAUCUGAGAGGCUGUGUGUGUCCCACGCGCUCCUGUUUUCCCAGCCACCCAUGCUAGUUGCAGAGAAAAGCCAACCUGUAUCCCUUCGUUUAUGCUCUGUGUGCCCUUCCUGGAGAGAUCCCUUCAUUCUUCAGCAAUGGAUCAAAGAACUCUGAAAACAAGAACAACCCCGACAGCUGCAAACCACGAGCCCUCACCUCCAGCAGAGGUUUUCGGGAAACUCUGGACGACCACGCGCAUGCAGAGCUUGGCAGAGCCAGCGUGGGCACACGUGGCAAAGCCAUUUAUGCCUGGGAAUUCCUCUCUGACUGUCAACGCCGCCGCUUCAAAGGACUUCUUGCAGUCAUCCUCUGGCAUUGCCACGGCUGGUGCUGGUUGUGAAUUCUGCACCAGCAACCUCCACCCCCUACAUUGGACUUGAUAAAACAAGCUGCUUCUCAGGUAUGCUAAAGAACAAAUUAAGAAACAGAAUCACCUGGGAUGAGUGAAAUUCCCUUUCAAUCAUGUCAGCCGGAGCAGAGGUUGUCAUGAAAUUUGAUGUUAGGGAUUUAUUUCCUAAUAUACAGUCUAAAAGGGAAAACAGUGUAAGAGCUGAAAUGUGAAUUGGACAUGUCUAUAGAGUGUGAAUUGGAUUCAAGACAAAAUAUUGUGAAUGGUUAAUAGGGUCAGUCUAAGUACACUUCCUGAAAUAAUCUCUUGGAUAUGCAAAUAUUCUGAGAGCUACACUGUCAAAUAGCUAUUGUAUCCUCUUAUCUAUGUGUUCACAGAACGGCUACAUGUUAUAACAAAUGAAAAAUGUGAAUUUAAAAAAUAAUGCCACCCUAAAAUAAUACUUUACUUUGAAUAGC
Long non-coding RNA from Homo sapiens (human), 1029 nucleotides. Ensembl annotates it as hepatocellular carcinoma associated transcript 5. Its record names the gene HCCAT5. The record is from Ensembl. NCBI's taxonomy places the organism in Eukaryota, Metazoa, Chordata, Mammalia, Primates, Hominidae.